RNAcentral lists this ribosomal RNA (465 nucleotides) under uncultured Klebsiella sp. RNAcentral's name for it is "bacterial SSU rRNA". It matches the Rfam family "Bacterial small subunit ribosomal RNA", at positions 338 to 795 of the family's 1533-position model. The record is from RNAcentral. Lineage: Bacteria; Pseudomonadati; Pseudomonadota; Gammaproteobacteria; Enterobacterales; Enterobacteriaceae.
CCUACGGGUGGCUGCAGUGGGGAAUAUUGCACAAUGGGCGCAAGCCUGAUGCAGCCAUGCCGCGUGUGUGAAGAAGGCCUUCGGGUUGUAAAGCACUUUCAGCGGGGAGGAAGGCGGUGAGGUUAAUAACCUCAUCGAUUGACGUUACCCGCAGAAGAAGCACCGGCUAACUCCGUGCCAGCAGCCGCGGUAAUACGGAGGGUGCAAGCGUUAAUCAGAAUUACUGGGCGUAAAGCGCACGCAGGCGGUCUGUCAAGUCGGAUGUGAAAUCCCCGGGCUCAACCUGGGAACUGCAUUCGAAACUGGCAGGCUAGAGUCUUGUAGAGGGGGGUAGAAUUCCAGGUGUAGCGGUGAAAUGCGUAGAGAUCUGGAGGAAUACCGGUGGCGAAGGCGGCCCCCUGGACAAAGACUGACGCUCAGGUGCGAAAGCGUGGGGAGCAAACAGGAUUAGAUACCCUUGUAGUC